Molecule: ribosomal RNA, 434 nt
Filed under: uncultured bacterium
Lineage: Bacteria
Description: partial 16S ribosomal RNA
Rfam family: Bacterial small subunit ribosomal RNA
Source: RNAcentral
AACGAACGCUGGCGGCAUGCCUAACACAUGCAAGUCGAACGAGACCUUCGGGUCUAGUGGCGCACGGGUGCGUAACGCGUGGGAACCUGCCCUUAGGUUCGGAAUAACUCCCCGAAAGGGGUGCUAAUACCGGAUAAUGUCUUCGGACCAAAGAUUUAUCGCCUUUGGAUGGGCCCGCGUUGGAUUAGCUAGUUGGUAGGGUAAAAGCCUACCAAGGCGACGAUCCAUAGCUGGUCUGAGAGGAUGAUCAGCCACACUGGGACUGAGACACGGCCCAGACUCCUACGGGAGGCAGCAGUGGGGAAUAUUGGACAAUGGGCGAAAGCCUGAUCCAGCAAUGCCGCGUGAGUGAGGAAGGCCUUAGGGUUGUAAAGCUCUUUUACCCGGGAUGAUAAUGACAGUACCGGGAGAAUAAGCACCGGCUAACUCCGUGC